ACUACGGGGCGCAGCAGUGGGGAAUAUUGCACAAUGGGCGAAAGCCUGAUGCAGCAACGCCGCGUGAGCGAUGAAGGCCUUCGGGUCGUAAAGCUCUGUCCUCAAGGAAGAUAAUGACGGUACUUGAGGAGGAAGCCCCGGCUAACUACGUGCCAGCAGCCGCGGUAAUACGUAGGGGGCUAGCGUUAUCCGGAAUUCCUGGGCGGAAAGGGUGCGGAGGUGGUUUAUUAAGUCAGAGGUGAAAGGCUACGGCUCAACCGUAGUAAGCCUUUGAAACUGGGGAACUUGAGUGCAGGAGAGGAGAGUGGAAUUCCUAGUGUAGCGGUGAAAUGCGUAGAUAUUAGGAGGAACACCAGUUGCGAAGGCGGCUCUCUGGACUGUAACUGACACUGAGGCACGAAAGCGUGGGGAGCAAACAGGAUUAGAUACCCCUGUAGUC
Molecule: ribosomal RNA, 439 nt
Filed under: uncultured bacterium
Lineage: Bacteria
Description: partial 16S ribosomal RNA
Rfam family: Bacterial small subunit ribosomal RNA
Source: RNAcentral